CGACGAGGUUGGGACUCGAACCCACGCGGUUAGAGCCCAAUUGAUUAGCAGUCCAUCGCCUUAACCACUCGGCCACCUCGUU
Molecule: transfer RNA, 82 nt
Filed under: Araneus ventricosus
Lineage: Eukaryota; Metazoa; Arthropoda; Arachnida; Araneae; Araneidae
Description: tRNA-Ser
Source: RNAcentral